UCGCUACUACCGAUUGAAUGAUUUAGUGAAUUGCAGGGACUUUGCUGGUUGUUGGUUUCCUUCAGCCGGCAUCGGAACUGCCGUAAACUUGACCAUUUAGAGGAAGUAA
Molecule: ribosomal RNA, 109 nt
Filed under: uncultured eukaryote
Lineage: Eukaryota
Description: partial small subunit ribosomal RNA
Rfam family: Eukaryotic small subunit ribosomal RNA
Source: RNAcentral